UGUAAGCGUAUACCAAAGUUGUUGCAGUUAAAACGCUCGUAGUCGGAAUUUGGCAGUUCCGGAUGUGUGCACGUCGUGUGCGCACUUCGCGGGGAUUGCUUUUGUGGUCUUGCGUAGGAUGAGGCACUUUUAUUAGUGAACGUCCUCACGCAACCACUUUUUACUGUGAGAAAAUCAGAGUGCUCAAAGCAGGCAUUUGCCGUGAAUGUAUUAGCAUGGAAUAAUAGAAUAGGACUUGGUUCUAUUUUGUUGGUUUGUUGGGACUGAGUAAUGAUUAAGAGGGACAGUUGGGGGCAUUUGUAUUUCGGUGCUAGAGGUGAAAUUCGUAGAUUACCGAAAGACAAACUGCUGCGAAAGCGUCUGCCAAGGAUGUUUUCAUUGA
This 382-nucleotide ribosomal RNA is filed under the name uncultured eukaryote. RNAcentral describes it as "partial 18S ribosomal RNA". It matches the Rfam family "Eukaryotic small subunit ribosomal RNA", at positions 592 to 976 of the family's 1831-position model. The record is from RNAcentral.